GACGAACGCUGGCGGCGUGCCUAAUACAUGCAAGUAGAACGCACAGUUUAUACCGUAGCUUGCUACACCAUAAACUGUGAGUUGCGAACGGGUGAGUAACGCGUAGGUAACCUGCCUGGUAGCGGGGGAUAACUAUUGGAAACGAUAGCUAAUACCGCAUAAUAUUGAUUAUUGCAUGAUAAUUGAUUGAAAGAUGCUAUUGCAUCACAACCAGAUGGACCUGCGUUGUAUUAGCUAGUAGGUGAGGUAACGGCUCACCUAGGCGACGAUACAUAGCCGACCUGAGAGGGUGAUCGGCCACACUGGGACUGAGACACGGCCCAGACUCCUACGGGAGGCAGCAGUAGGGAAUCUUCGGCAAUGGACGAAAGUCUGACCGAGCAACGCCGCGUGAGUGAAGAAGGUUUUCGGAUCGUAAAGCUCUGUUGUAAGAGAAGAACGGGUGUGAGAGUGGAAAGUUCACACUGUGACGGUAUCUUACCAGAAAGGGACGGCUAACUACGUG
Molecule: ribosomal RNA, 505 nt
Filed under: uncultured bacterium
Lineage: Bacteria
Description: partial 16S ribosomal RNA
Rfam family: Bacterial small subunit ribosomal RNA
Source: RNAcentral